GAUGAACGCUGGCGGCGUGCCUAAUACAUGCAAGUCGAGCGAACAGACGAGGAGCUUGCCUCUCUUCCGUUAGCGGCGGGCGGGUGAGUCAUACGUGUCUACCCUGUCUAUAAGACUGGGAUAACUACGGGAAACCGAAGAUAAUACCGGACAUGAUAUAGAACCGGAUGGUUCAAUAGUGAUAGCGCGUUUUGAUGACACUAAUAGAUGGAACCGCGCCGCAUUAGCUAGUUGGUACGGUAACGGCUUACCAAGGCGACGAUGCGUAGCUGACCUGAGAGGGUGAUCGGCCACACUGGAACUGAGACACGGUCCAGACUCCUACGGGAGGCAGCAGUAGGGAAUCUUCCGCAAUGGGCGAAAGCCUGACGCAGCAACGCCGCGUGAGUGAUGAAGGUCUUCGGAUCGUAAAACUCUGUUAUUAGGGAAGAACAAAUGUGUAAUUAACUAUUCACGUCUUGACGGUACCUACACAAAAAGCCCCGGCUAACUUCGUG
This 497-nucleotide ribosomal RNA is filed under the name uncultured bacterium. RNAcentral describes it as "partial 16S ribosomal RNA". It matches the Rfam family "Bacterial small subunit ribosomal RNA", at positions 28 to 507 of the family's 1533-position model. The record is from RNAcentral.